AGGCCCCUGCGCGGUUAGUGAUGAGCGAAACUAUUCUUGAACCAACACCUAUUUGAUGGGUGCCGCGGUCCCACCCCGCUGAUCGAGCCCCACGGCGAGUGAUGCGGGGCGGGCAGGUACCCAACCUGUGGUCAGCAGGUUCAAAUGGGGUUGCUCACACGGCCGAGUGCGGGGGCCUC
This 179-nucleotide non-coding RNA is filed under the name Acidobacteriota bacterium. Its description in RNAcentral is "6S RNA". It matches the Rfam family "6S / SsrS RNA". Rfam says of the family: E. coli 6S RNA was the first non coding RNA to be sequenced, but its function was unknown until recently. RNAcentral also lists the same sequence under 2 other names. Lineage: Bacteria; Pseudomonadati; Acidobacteriota. The record is from RNAcentral.